RNAcentral lists this ribosomal RNA (587 nucleotides) under uncultured bacterium. RNAcentral describes it as "bacterial SSU rRNA". It matches the Rfam family "Bacterial small subunit ribosomal RNA", at positions 355 to 957 of the family's 1533-position model. The record is from RNAcentral.
UGGGGAAUUUUCCGCAAUGGGCGCAAGCCUGACGGAGCAACGCCGCGUGAGGGAUGAAGGCCUCUGGGCUGUAAACCUCUUUUCUCAAGGAAGAAGACAUGACGGUACUUGAGGAAUAAGCCACGGCUAAUUCCGUGCCAGCAGCCGCGGUAAUACGGGAGUGGCAAGCGUUAUCCGGAAUUAUUGGGCGUAAAGCGUCCGCAGGCGGCCUUUUAAGUCUGUUGUUAAAGCGUGGAGCUCAACUCCAUUUCGGCAAUGGAAACUGGAAGGCUGGAGUGUGGUAGGGGCAGAGGGAAUUCCCGGUGUAGCGGUGAAAUGCGUAGAUAUCGGGAAGAACACCAGUGGCGAAGGCGCUCUGCUGGGCCAUAACUGACGCUCAUGGACGAAAGCCAGGGGAGCGAAAGGGAUUAGAUACCCCUGUAGUCCUGGCCGUAAACGAUGAACACUAGGUGUCGGGGGAAUCGACCCCCUCGGUGUCGUAACCAACGCGUUAAGUGUUCCGCCUGGGGAGUACGCACGCAAGUGUGAAACUCAAAGGAAUUGACGGGGCCCGCACAAGCGGUGGAGUAUGUGGUUUAAUUCGAUGC